RNAcentral lists this ribosomal RNA (357 nucleotides) under Triticum aestivum (bread wheat). RNAcentral describes it as "partial small subunit ribosomal RNA". Lineage: Eukaryota; Viridiplantae; Streptophyta; Magnoliopsida; Poales; Poaceae. The record is from RNAcentral.
AUGUGUACUUAUACAGGCGAAAAGGAUGACCCAAUGCGUCAUAGCCCUGAGGACUUACCAGAUGAUGUGGUAGAUGCUACUGUCCAAUCGCUUUUGAAGGAGGGCACUGUAACCAGCAACACCUUCGGUUUACUUCCCUUCUGCAAGAAGAACCCGGCUCCUGCGGCCGAUGAUAAUUUCUGGAAGGUCAAAUAUGACCAUGAGGCUGCCAAACAGGCCAGGGCGGCCAAGAAGACCGAAAGAAAAGCCGCCAGGACGGGCACCUCUAAGAAGAAGAAACCCAGCACCUCUGACAUGCUUAAAUUGGACGACUCUUCUUCGGAUGAGGAAGAUGUAAUCUUUUUUGAUUUUCUGUAA